CCUACGUGGAGCUGCAGUGGGGAAUAUUGGACAAUGGGCGAAAGCCUGAUCCAGCCAUGCCGCGUGUGUGAAGAAGGCCUUCGGGUUGUAAAGCACUUUCAGUGGGGAAGAAAGCCUUGGGGCUAAUACCCUCGAGGAAGGACAUCACCCACAGAAGAAGCACCGGCUAACUCCGUGCCAGCAGCCGCGGUAAUACGGAGGGUGCGAGCGUUAAUCGGAAUUACUGGGCGUAAAGCGCGCGUAGGCGGUCUGAUAAGCCGGUUGUGAAAGCCCCGGGCUCAACCUGGGAACGGCAUCCGGAACUGUCAGGCUAGAGUGCAGGAGAGGAAGGUAGAAUUCCCGGUGUAGCGGUGAAAUGCGUAGAGAUCGGGAGGAAUACCAGUGGCGAAGGCGGCCUUCUGGACUGACACUGACGCUGAGGUGCGAAAGCGUGGGUAGCAAACAGGAUUAGAUACCCUUGUAGUC
This 465-nucleotide ribosomal RNA is filed under the name Vreelandella stevensii. Its description in RNAcentral is "partial 16S ribosomal RNA". It matches the Rfam family "Bacterial small subunit ribosomal RNA", at positions 338 to 795 of the family's 1533-position model. Lineage: Bacteria; Pseudomonadati; Pseudomonadota; Gammaproteobacteria; Oceanospirillales; Halomonadaceae. The record is from RNAcentral.